CCCUUAGAUGUCCGGGGCUGCACGCGCGCUACACUGAAGGAAUCAGCGUGCUAAAACCAUUGUCGAAAGGCAUUGGUAAACCCAUUAAAACCCUACGUGAUUGGGAUCGGGAAUUGCAAUUAUUUCCCUUGAACGAGGAAUUCCCAGUAAGUGUGGGUCAUAAGCUCGCGUUGAUUACGUCCCUGCCCUUUGUACACACCGCCCGUCGCUGCCCGGGACUGAGCCGUUUCGAGAAAAGCGGGGACUGCUGCUGUCGGGGCUUUCGGGCCUUGGCUUCGGUGGAAACCGCUUUAAUCGCAGUGGCUUGAACCGGGCAAAAGUCGUAACA
RNAcentral lists this ribosomal RNA (328 nucleotides) under uncultured eukaryote. RNAcentral describes it as "partial 18S ribosomal RNA". It matches the Rfam family "Eukaryotic small subunit ribosomal RNA", at positions 1470 to 1796 of the family's 1831-position model. The record is from RNAcentral.